Molecule: long non-coding RNA, 2906 nt
Organism: Rhea pennata
Lineage: Eukaryota; Metazoa; Chordata; Aves; Rheiformes; Rheidae
Exons: 3
Source: RefSeq, a predicted model, not a curated record
CGGAGGGCGCGGGAGGCCCCGUUGCGUGCGGCGGGAGCGGCGCGUUCCGGUCUAGUCCGGUUCGGCGCGGAUCGGCGGUUCCGCGGGGAGAGCCGCGGCGCCGCUUGUAGCUGGCGGAGCUUAAAAGAAGCCUGGGGAAGGAGGGAGCUGCUGCUGCUGCAGCCCGCGGGAAGAGCUGGUGCCCGGGGCGCCUGUGGCUUCAUUAGCGUUUAGCUACAGGUUCUUCGCAGUUGUGAUUUUUCUUUCUUUUUUGUAGAUUUACAUACCAACCACUACUGAAGAUGAAUGAAUUUGAAUUCAAAUACCAAGGUGUUCCAUCAACAAAGCUGCACUUCCCUGAGGAAAUCACCACAUCCCAGUGGUGUGCUGCUGUCUCGAGGGUUUUGAAGCCCAAAUUGCUGGCCUGGUAGGAAUAUUUCUAGUGAAGAUACGUAGGUGCAAAUCUUGUCUGUUUACAAGCAGCAUCAAAAAGUAAGAUCAGGAUCCAUCUGAUUAACAUGUAUGAUAUAUACAGCAUAUCAAGUUUCAGACUAUCCUGAAAUGAGGCCAGACCAAGAUGAAAAUGAGAUAUAUUGUAUAGUUAGUGAAGUUAAUCAAGAAAAUAAAGAAAAUCUUGCAAAGAUGUCCUCCUUGUUGCCCUUGUGUUGGAUGCUUCAAAAUGAGUUCUCACUAUUUUAAUGUGAGCCUGGGGAGUUGGUGAUGAUUCUCAUGCCUAUUGCUUCUCUGAAGUGAACACCUUGUUUGGAGAAGAAAAAGGUCAUUUUCAGAUCGAGGUGCACUGUUCUGCACUGUCUAAUUCUCUUCCAUGUUCCAUGGGCUCAGUGAUUCUAAAAAGAGCAAAGAGGAAGAAACCUAGCUUCGGCAUCUGUCUCUUGGCCUGUGUUGCAUUUCCAGUAUUAAAACUUGGACCUUAGUUGGGAAGGUAAAAACCUCUAAUGCUGAAGUGAGACAUGACAUUUAUAAAAAUGGGAAGAAGACUAGACUUGACAAUAAACGAUUAUCUCAUUCUUUGAAAGAUACUUACAUUUUAAAGCCAGAUUCUGAGAGAACGCAGCUUUCUGCAACAUAUGCAACUUAGCCCUGAUUCAGAAGAUAAAAGAUGUUCAUAAAGUCCAUGAAAAGUGUCAUGAUGUGGACUGUGUUUUUAAUGUAUUUAUUGUAGUUGUCACAUGACUGAAUGGGACUUAAUGGGAAAUCAGUUAAAAACACAUAAGCAGGUAAAAGGAAUCUUCUAGUGCCUGAUCUGUGAAAGUGUUUUUCAUGUCACACAGUGCCUGGAAAAUGCACAAAAACAGUCAUCAGUGAAGACCCCAUGUCUUUUGGUGCACAGAAUGUUCAUCAUUUGAAAGUCCUGGGACAUGUAGACCCUCUUGCGUCGCUGGCUGCAACUCCAUCAUGACAUCCCAACAUGUACUGUGUAAAUGAUGCUGCAUUGCCCACUGAACCCUGCUGGAGCAUGGAGCUGGGUGCACUGAAUGGAAGGUCAAGUGUUUGUUUACUCAUAAUGCUGUCUUGAGUAUCCUAUCUCAAAAAAAGCAUAAGAUACUUAAAAAUAUUAUUUUAUCUAUGAAUAGUCAUAAAAUUGGCAGCUUCUUCUCCCCUCUUUCCCCUGCCACUGUAUAGGCUUCAUAAUCCAGCAGUAUUUGUAAUAUGGUUGUUUGCUGUUCCAUCAUAUUAAAAAGAAUUGGCAAUAUAACUAAGGCUGGAUGAUAGUGGGUGAAGAAAAAUCACUUUUUCCUCCUUUAAACAGCAAUGUACUGAAAUGUCUUUCAUUACUAAGCCCUGGGGUGUGUUGAGACCUACUGCUGAAGAUGAUGGGUUUUUACAACUUGCUUUUUGGAGUUGAUACAACUGUUUUGGGGUUGAUCAAUUUAUACAACAACUAUCAUCACUCUUCCCAACAGUAGGCAAACAAGAGAAUUUUUGGUACUUUGUUGCUGAAAUAUCUGGCUCAUCCGAAACCAAUAAAACACAAACUAUAUCAAGUGCCAACUUAUAUUUUCCAUGGAUGAAAGUAUUCUUUGUCAGAGAUGCAAUGCUUCUUUCCUUAAGUGACAUGAGUGCAUAAGCUUCCCUUUCCUCUGAAACCAGUUCUGACUAUCUUCUCAGUCACGUAACAGGCAUAUUUCUUAAAAAAUGUGCUGUGUGUUUGAAUGUAUAUGCAGCACACUUUUAAGUUCAUAUUUUGGAUUGUAGAUGGCUGUCAUUUCAUUUGAUCUUGGUGUUAGUCUUUACAAUGUAAUUAGUAUUUUGUGUUACUCUGACAACAGUAUAAAAAUAAUAUUUGGAUAUUCUGAACUCAAUAAACUGAUCAGAAUAAAUUAAUUCCAUACAAAAUAAACAGUUAUAUUAUGUAAAUAUGUUGCUUGUUCUUUUUCUACGUAUAUGAUGUCCUUUGGAAAUCAAAUUGAGGUAAGUUAGAAAAGACUUAAUAAAAAUGUGUAUUGUUAGUUGAGGCUUUUGUAUGAUGGUAAAAAUGCUUAAUUCUGGUAAAUUCAAUGGAUUCAGGUCAAAUCCUGAAAUCCUGAAAAACAUGUUUUUCCUUCUGGCUUUGUCAUGUUUAAAACCCGGGGAUAUUUAUUGUGAUCCUAAGUCUGCCUUCCACUGUAGUGACUUUCCAAAUGUUAUUUAUAUCAUUGUCAGUUGUGCUCGUUUCAUUUCCUUUUCUCUUUGUGCUGAGUAAAAACUGUGGCAAUUUUACAAUGAAAGUGUACAUCCAAGAACGGUGAUCUGUACUUCCAGUGUGUGUCUGUGAAUGGCAAGUAAACUUUGCUGUUAAAUCAUCUACUUCUUCAUUGUAUUUACAAUAUGUGCAAAAGUACAAUAGAGCAGUUAUAUCCUCAGCAUUACCUAUACUUAACAACUUAGCUCUAAUUCUGUUCUAUACUUUUAAUAAAAAAAUCAAA